GGGCUGCCGGAAUAAAGGCGACAGACUGUAAAUCUGUUCAGUUUCACUGUACGGCGGUUCGAAUCCGUCCCUGCCCACCA
This 80-nucleotide transfer RNA is filed under the name Phycisphaerales bacterium. RNAcentral describes it as "tRNA-Tyr". It matches the Rfam family "tRNA". Rfam says of the family: Transfer RNA (tRNA) molecules are approximately 80 nucleotides in length. Their secondary structure includes four short double-helical elements and three loops (D, anti-codon, and T loops). Lineage: Bacteria; Pseudomonadati; Planctomycetota; Phycisphaerae; Phycisphaerales. The record is from RNAcentral.